GACAGAGGGUGCAAGCGUUAAUCGGAAUUACUGGGCGUAAAGCGUGCGCAGGCGGUGAUGUAAGACAGUUGUGAAAUCCCCGGGCUCAACCUGGGAACUGCAUCUGUGACUGCAUCGCUGGAGUGCGGCAGAGGGGGAUGGAAUUCCGCGUGUAGCAGUGAAAUGCGUAGAUAUGCGGAGGAACACCGAUGGCGAAGGCAAUCCCCUGGGCCUGCACUGACGCUCAUGCACGAAAGCGUGGGGAGCAAACAGG
This 253-nucleotide ribosomal RNA is filed under the name uncultured bacterium. Its description in RNAcentral is "partial 16S ribosomal RNA". It matches the Rfam family "Bacterial small subunit ribosomal RNA", at positions 524 to 776 of the family's 1533-position model. The record is from RNAcentral.